This 6821-nucleotide long non-coding RNA is filed under the name Sus scrofa (pig). RNAcentral's name for it is "lncRNA (ENSSSCG00000060478.1)". The record is from RNAcentral. Lineage: Eukaryota; Metazoa; Chordata; Mammalia; Artiodactyla; Suidae.
GUUGCUGUGGCUCUGGCGUAGGCUGGUGGCUACAGCUCCGAUUCAACCCCUAGCCUGGGAACCUCCAUAUGCCGCGGGAGCGGCCCAAGAAAUAGCAACAACAGCAACAACAACAACAGACAAAAAGACAAAAGACAAAAAAAAAAAAUUUUUUUUCAUGACCCUAAAAGGAAACUCUGCCCAUUAGCAGUCAUCUUCCUUCUCUCCCCCCACUACCUAGCCCUAGGUAACCACUAAUCUGUUUUCUUUUUUGGACAUUUUGUAUAAAUACAGUCAUAUCAUAUGUGAUCUUCUGUGUUGAACUUCUCUCAGUGUGAUGACUUCCAGGUUCAUCCAUUUGUAGUAUAUAUUAAUACUUCUUUCCUUUUUAUGGCUAAAUAAUAUUCCAUUGUGUAGAUAUACUACAUUUUGUUUGUCCAUUCAUCAGUUAAUGGAUAUUUGGGGUAUUCCCAACUUUUGACUUAAACGCUAUUAUGCUUCUUUCACAUUGGUGUACAAGUUUUUGUAUGGACAUAUGUUUCCAUUUCUCUUGGAUAUAUACCUAGGAUUGAAAUUGCUGGGUCAUAUGGUAACUCCAUGCCAGACUUUUUGAGGAACUGGCAAACUGUUUGCAGAUCGUCUCUUCCAGUUUUUACAUUCCCACCAGAAAUUACAGGUGGUUUUUGCUUUUGUUUUGGGUGCAUGAUCCACUCAGGGGUCACACACUGCAUUAAUUCGUCACAUCCCUUUAGUCUCCUUCUAUCCAGAACCGUCUGCAGUGUUCUUUGUGACACUGCCCUAUUUGCCACGCAGGGCAGGGUGUUGUAAAAUGUUCUUCACCUUGGAACUAUCUCCUCAUGGCAGGAUUCAGGUUAAGCAUUUUUGUCAGGAAUUCUUCAACAUAGUAUGUUGUAUCCUUAUUUUGUCAGGCAGCUCUUGAUACCAGUUUGUCCCGUUAUUAGAGGUUUGAAGUUGGUUAAUUAAUGUUGUCUACCAGGUUUCUCCCUUAGAAAGAUACCCUUUCCCCUUUGUAAUUAGUAAGCAGUCUGUGGGGUCAUGUUUAGAUUGGGACUGUUGUGUCCUCAGUAGUUUGGCAGUCAGUGAAGUGUUCAUUGGUGAUUCUUGACUGAAGCAUUUAUUACUACAGUGGUUGUAAAAAAGUGAUUGUCUCUCAUUCCUCCUACAUUGUUGACAUAUUUCAGUAAAGGGUACUCCCCUUUUAAGGGGUUUUAGUGUAAUUUUCUCAUUCAGUGUAAUGAACAGCUGUGUCAUUAUUCAUGCUGAUUCUCAAAUUCGGCUGAAAUUUGGCUUCUUCUUUGAGCAUUACUUUUAUUUUAGAGCCUUACCCUCAGCAUAUGGAGGUUCCCAGGCUAGGGGUUGAAUUGGAGCUGCAGCCGCUGGCCUACACCACAGCCACAGCCACGUCAGAUCCAAACUGCACUGGCAACCUACACCACAGCUCACAGCAAUUCUGGAUCCUUAACCCACUGAGCGAGGCCAGGGAUUGAACCUACAUUCUUAUGGAUAUUAGUUAGAUUCGUCUUUGCUGAGCCAUGAUGGGAAUUCCUGGGCAUUACUUUCUGACAUAGGAUGAUUUCCAUGUUUACCUUGUAUUUUCUCCAUUCCAGUUUCUUCUGCUGACUUUCAGGUAUGUUCCAUUCGUUUAUAUAUAGAUGCAUUUUCCUUCUCUGAACAUUUUAUUUUUGCCUAGCUGGUACUAUACAUUCCUACUUCUCAAAUAGUUGGGAGAUUAUUCUCGAUCUCAUUUUUCUGAAUUGUGUUUCAUUUUAUGAAUACAUUAUAGUUUCUUUAGUCUCCUUUUGGUGAUUUAAAUUUUUUGCUUCUGUAAACAUUGCCUUAAAUGUAUAACCUUCUUUAUACAUCAUGUUACAUAUUGCUCAGUAUUUGUAGAAUAAUUUCUAGAGGUGAGACUUUUAAAGCAAAGAGAAUCCAUGAUGAGGGUGCCCGUUCGUCCUCUGCCGAGACCAGCUCAGCAGGAUGGGGCUGAAGAAUGGGUGCUGUGGAACUUAAGGAAAAAAAAGGUAACAUAAAACAAGACACAGAGACAUUUAUCUUAAGUAAAGGUGGGCACCUUUGGGGGACUCAAGGUCUCAGGGACCAAAGAGCCCUGCCUCAAGAAACCACACUGCUUUUAUUGUGCUCUUUAGAUGAGAUCAAGUGAGGAGUGGCCAUGGGUGGAUGAUACAGGGUUUAUUUAUUAUAUAAGUUCUUUUACUAUUUAAAAAGCCACUUAGGUGGUAAAAGGUUAAGCUCUUACUCUGACCUCUAGGCACAUAACAGUUCUUAAGCUUAAGUCACUUAUGCCUUUAGAUCUUUGUUCUUAAGCUUAAGUCAUUUACCAGCACAGUGAUUGUUUUUCCAAGCAGGAAGAUGGGAUAAAGUAGGACAAGAAGAUGGGAUAAAGUAAAGAAGGACUAGACGGAGUUUUCAAAGAAACAUGUCUUGCAACAGUCCUCCCUUUUGUCAGUCUGUUAAGUGAUAAGAUUUCUUUGGUUUAAAUUGCUUUUCCAAUGUACUUAGUGAUGUUGAAUAUCUUUCUUUAAUUUAAAAUUUAUAUUUAAAAUAUUUUAAAUCUUUUCAUUUUUAAAGGUAAGUUAUAUUUCCUUUUUGUGAACUAUCUAAUCAUAUUCUUGCCCUAUUUAAACCCAGGUGCUUUUUGAUAAUGCUGUAAAUGUUAUUCGUCCAUCAGGCUGACUUCCUCAGAAACAGGUUCUACUGAUUCCUGUUUGAGCCCAACAUCUUCUGAUUGCAAAUCUCUAGAAAUUUAUUAAAACCAGCCAGUGAAGAAAGGGGGCCUUUCUGGAAUCUUAAUAGAGCUGGGCCUCACAAGGCCUAUCUUUGGGACCAAGGUGACUGUCCUUUCUGUCCUUCUCUUGGCUGUGCAGCUGUUGAAGCUGGUCCACAGAAACAGAGUUAAUCUCUGGAAAUGGUUGUCUAGCCACCAAAACCAGGAGAGAGACUAUCAUUGGCCCCUUUUGGGUCAGGUGUCCCCCACUGGGCCAAUCGCCUGUUUGGUGCCAGCCUGUGGCAUAUGGAGGUUCCCAGGCUAGGGAUCGAAUCGGAGCUGUAGCCACCAGCCUAUGCCAGAGCCACAGCAACGCGGGAUCCGAGCCUUGUCUGCAACCUAUACCACAGCUCAUGGCAACACCGGAUCCUUAACCCACUGAGCAAGGCCAGGGAUCAAACCGGCAACCUCAUGGUUCCAAGUCGGAUUCAUUAACCACUGAGCCACGACGGGAACUCCUGCUUUAUUUUUAAAAAUUUUUUGGUCUUUUUGCCUUUUUUAGGGCUGCUCCUGCAGCAUAUGGAGGUUCCCAGGCUAGGGGUCUAAUCGGAGCUGUAACCACUGGCCUAUGCCACAGCCACAGCAACAUGGGAUUCAAGCUGCAUUUGCAACCUACACCACAGCUCACGGCAACACCAGGUCCUUAACCCACAGAGCAGGGCAGGGAUCGAACCUACAACCUCAUGGUUCCUAGUCUGAUUCGUUAACCACUGCACCACAAUGGGAAUGCCUCCUGCUUAGUUUUUGUUUCUCAGGAUUACUUUGACAAUUCUAGAUCUUUUACGGUUCCAUAUAAAUUUUUGUUUGUUUGUUCUAGUUCUGUGAAAAAUGUGGUAAUUUGAUAAGGGUAAUUUGAUAGGGAUUGCAUUGAAUCUGUUGAUUGUUUUGGGCAAUGUGGCCAUUUUAACAAUGUUAAUUCUUCCAAUCCAGGAGCAUGGACUAUUUUUCCAUUUCUUUGAAUCCUCUUUAAUUUCCUUAAUUAAUGUUUUAUAAUUCUCAGCAUAUAAGUCACCUCCUUGGUCAGGUUUAUUCCUAGGUAUUUAAUUUUUGGGGCUGUGAUUUUAAAAGGUAUUGUAUUUUUAUAUUCCUUUUCUAAUAUUUCAUUGUUAGUAUACAGAAAUGCAACCAAUUUCUGAAUGUUAAUCUUGUAUCCUGCUACUUUUCUGAAUUCAUUGAUCAGUUCAAGUAGUUUUUGUGUGGAGUCCUUAGGGUUUUCUGUAUGUAGUAUCAUGUCAUCAGCAUAGAAUGACAGUUUCACCUCUUCUCUUCCAAUUUGGAUACUUUUUAUUUCUUUUGUUUGUCUGAUUGCUGUGGCUAGGACUUCCAAAACUAUGUUGAAUAAAAGUGGUGAGAGUGGGCAUCCUUGUCUUGUUCCAGAUUUUAGUGGGAAGGCUUUCAGCUUUUCUCUAUUGAGUAUUAUAUUGGCUGUGGGUUUCUCAUAAAUGGCUUUUAUUACAUUAAGAUAUGUUCCCUCUAUACCCACUUUGGUGAGAGUUUUAUCAUGAAUGGAUGUUGGAUUUUGUCAGAUGAUUUUUCUGCAUCUAUUGAGAUCAUGUGGUUUUCGACUUUUUUUUUUGUAUGACUUUGAUUUGCAUUUGUUGAACUAAACUUAUGAACCUGGGAUGAAUCCCACUUGGUCAUGGUGUACGAUCUUUUUUAUGUGUUGUUGGAUUCAGUUGGCUGAAUUUUUUUUGAGAAUUUCUGUGUCUGUAGUCAUCAAAGAUAUUGGCCUAUAAUUUUCUUUUUUGGUAGUAUCCUUGUCUGGUUUUGGUAUUACGGUGAUGGUGGCUUCAUGGAAAGUCUUUGGGAGUGUUCCUUUUUCUUCAACCAUUUGAAGAAGUUUAAGAAGGAUGGGUAUGAGUUCUUUGUAUGUUUUUUAGAAUUCACCUGUGAAGCAGUCUGGUCCUGGACUUUUGUUUGUAGGGAGUGAUUCUAUUACAUAUUUAAUUUUGUUUCUAGUGAUCAGUCUGUUUAUUUGAUCUAUCUCUUCUUGGUUCAGUUUUGGUGGGCUGUAUGUCUCUAGAAAGUUUUCCAUUUCUUCUAGGUUGUCAGGUUUAUUGGUAUGUAAUUGUUCAUGGUAUCCUCUUAUGGUUUUUUUGUAUUUCUGAGUUAUCUGUUGAGAUUUUUCCAUUUUCAUUUCUUAUUUUGUUUGCAUUCUUUCUCUCUUCUUGAUGAGUCUGGCCAAAGUUUUGUCAAUUUUGUUUACCCUUUCGAAGAACCAUCUCUUGGUUUCAUUGAAUUUUUUUUCUUUUCUUUUCUGAAUCUCUAUUUUAAUGAUUUGCUCUCUGAUCUUUAUGAUUUUCUUGCUUCUGACUUCAGGUUUUGUUUGCUCUUCUUUUUCUGAUUCUUUUAGGUGGUGGGUUAAGUUUUUGAUUUGAGAUUUUUCUUCUUUUUUUGAGAAAGAGCCUGUAUUGCUAUGAACUUCCCUCUAAAAGCAGUGCUUUUGUGGCAUCCCAUAGAUUUUGAAUGGUUGUGUUUUCAUUAUCAUUUGUCUUGAGGUAUUUUUUAAUUUCCUUUUGAUUUCCUUCUUGACCCAUUGGUUUUUUUUAAUAGCAUGUUUAGUCUCCAUGUAGUCAGUUUUUUCUCAUUUCUUGCCCUAUGGUUGAUUUCUAGUUUCAUGCCAUUGUGGUCAGAGAAGAUACUUGAAAUAAUUUCUAUACUCUUAAAUUUGUUGAGCUUAGUUUUGUGCCCCAGUAUGUUGUCAGUCGUUGAGAAUGUUCACGUGCACUUGAAAAGAAUGUAUGUUCUGAAUUUUUUGGGAUAUAAUUCUUGAAAAUAUCAGUUAAGCUUAAUUUUUCUUCCUAUUAUGUCAUUUAGGAUUUCUGUUGCCUUUUUGGGUUUCUUUCUAGAGGAUCUGUCCAAAUAUGUGAGUGGGGUGUUAAAGUCUCCUACUAUUUUUGUAUUCCCAUCAAUUUCUCCUUUUAUGUCUGUUAGUAUUUUUUUUUUAAUGUAUUUGUGUGCUUUUAUAUUGGGGCAUCUAUAUUGAUGAGUGUAAUAUCCUCUUCUUGAAUGGAUCUUUUAUCAUUAAACAAUGGAUCCUUUUUGUCUUUUUGGCCUUUGUUUUAAAGCCUGAGAUGAGUAUUGCAACUCCUGCUUUCCUGUCUUUUCCAUUUGCAGGAAAUAUCUUUUUCCAUCCCAUCACUUUCAGUUUAUAUGUGUUCUUUGCCUCUUGUAGGCAGCAUAUGUAGGCUCCUGUUUUUUUUUAAUCUACUCUGCCAGUCUAUUUUUUUUUUUUUUUUUGGCCACUCAGUCCAUUGACGUUUAAGGUAAUUAUUUAUUUAUUUAUUUAUUUUUUUGGUCUUCUUGCCAUUUCUUGGGGCGCUCCUGCAGCAUAUGGAGGUUCCCAGGCUAGGGGUCUAAUCGGAGCUGUAGCCGCCAGCCUAUGUCAGGGCCAUAGCAACGCGGGAUCUGAGCCGCAUCUGCAACCUAUACCACAGCUUAUGGCAUCGCUGGAUCCUUAACCCACUGAGCAAGUCCAGGGAUCGAAUCUGCAACCUCAUGGUUCCUAGUCAGAUUCGUUAACCAUUGAGCCACGACAGAAACUCCCAUUUAAGGUAAUUAUUGAUAAAUAUAUAUUAAACCUUGUUUUCCAGUUAUUUUAUGUUUUUCCUUUCUCUUUUUUUGGUUGGAUGAUUUCCUUUUAUUUUAUGCUUGUGUCUUUGUCUUUAUAAUUUUUGUGACUGUAUUGUUUGGUUUUGAUUUGUGGUAGUUUUGUUUUUCAAGUAUGUUAACCUGUUUCUGCUUGCUUUAGCCUGAUAAUCGUAUACACUCAAACAUGUCCUCUUUUUUUUUUUUUCCUUCAUAGGGCCACAUUUGUGGCAUAUGGAGGUUCCCAGGUAAGGGGUCCAGUUGGAGCUACAGUUGCUGGCCGCAGUCACAGCCACAGCCACGCAGGAUCUGAGCUGCAUCUGCAACCUAUACUACAGCUCAUGGCAACACCAGAUCCUUAACCCACUGAGUAAGGCCAGGGAUUGAACCUGCAACCUCAUGGUUCCUAGUCGGAUUCAUUUCCACUGCAUCAUGACAGGAACUCCAA